UGGAGUGGAUGGAGAAGAGGAAAAUGAACUUCUCCCAUGCGGACUACGCAAUACGCUUAGAUCUUAUAGCAAAAACCAAAGGGAUAGCUGCUGCUGAGGAUAUUGGCUCUCACCAGCUGCGAAAAGUCAGUCUGCAUAUGGAUCUCUUUUGAACUGUUAUUGCAAGGAACUUAUGUCUGACAAGGCACUGGCUCUUUUUCAGAAAAUGGAUGAAAUGAACUUUCUUACCGCUUCUUUACCUUUUAACAAUCUCAUGUCACUACAUAUGGGAUUGGGCCAACCUGAGAAGGUGCCUGUCUUAGUUUAUGAGAUGAAGCAGAGGAAUAUCAAACCUUGCUCUUUCACCUAUAAUAUCUGGAUGCAGAGCUAUGGAUGUUUGAAUGAUUAUGAGGGAGUAGAAAGAGUUCUGGCUGAGAUUGAAAAGGAUGAUAAAGAUAAUUGUGAGUGGACUACGUACAGUAAUCUGGCUACGAUCUAUCUCAAGGCUGGACAUUUUGAGAAAGCUGAAUCAGCUCUUAAAAAGGUAGAGGCAAAGAUGGGAUUU
RNAcentral lists this unclassified non-coding RNA (544 nucleotides) under Hevea brasiliensis (rubber tree). Lineage: Eukaryota; Viridiplantae; Streptophyta; Magnoliopsida; Malpighiales; Euphorbiaceae. The record is from RNAcentral.